This 373-nucleotide ribosomal RNA is filed under the name uncultured organism. Its description in RNAcentral is "partial 16S ribosomal RNA". It matches the Rfam family "Bacterial small subunit ribosomal RNA", at positions 527 to 896 of the family's 1533-position model. The record is from RNAcentral.
GAACCGUCCAAACGUUAUUCGGAAUCAUUGGGCUUAAAGGGUGCGUAGGCGGUGUGGUCAGUUGGGUGUGAAAUCCCUCGGCUCAACCGAGGAACUGCGCCCAAUACUGCCACACUCGAGGGAGACAGAGGUAAGCGGAACUGAUGGUGGAGCGGUGAAAUGCGUUGAUAUCAUCAGGAACACCAGUGGCGAAGGCGGCUUACUGGGUCUCUUCUGACGCUGAGGCACGAAAGCUAGGGGGGAGCGAACGGGAUUAGAUACCCCGGUAGUCCUAGCUGUAAACGAUGAGCACUUGAUCGGAGACUCCCUCCAUAGGUUUCCGGUCGUAGCGAAAGUGUUAAGUGCUCCGCCUGGGAGUAUGGUCGCAAGGCUG